UCGUGGGUCUUGGUGAACUUCCCGACGGCUCGAAUCGUCUUUCUCCAUGUUCAUUGGCCUUCGAAGUGGAUGCCCUUCAGUAAGUUCUUCAAAUCCAUAGCAAUGAAUGUCGAUAUAUCUGAGUAUUUGCUUUUCAUAUACGCACACCUGCUGCAGCAGAAACAUAAGCUUACAAAUUGGAUCUUUCGCUGAAACAUACUGGCUACUGCUUCUGUUCCAAAGCCAACAUAAAAGAGCUAAAUGAUUUCAAAUUCUAGGAAACAUCUCUUACGUGACUUAGCAGAAAAGGCGUUCCGAUAAAAGAUCAGCUGCUGAUAUUUGUUAUUUCAGUAGACUAAUUGAAACUUUUCGCUGUUCCUUUUGCUAUCAGACAAAAACGUUAAGAAAUUAUUGAUGAUAUUGCUGAUUAGAUUCUUUUACAACACCUGCAGUGGGCGGUAAAGUUUCACACAAGUUAGCAAAUGAACAAGAGCAGGAAUUGCACAGAAGAAAUGAGAGGAACGAAAUGCUCAAAUUGAUGUGUCGGUACAAACGCAUCUGUACGAGAAGAAAGGUACUAUCUAUUGUUUGCUUUGCACGAGAAUUUCUUCUAUUACCAAACAUACUCUUCGUAUAAACUUGACGCAUUGGUUGCGUUCAAAAACAACUAAUUUUUUCUAUUAUGAUACCAGAGGAAGAGAUUUGUACGUGAGGCUAACAUUUACUUGUAAAUACGCAGGUGAAGUUAGAGUACGUAAAUGAUGAAAAUGUUCUAAGAGGUAUUAUAAAUCUUGUGAAAACAUUUCGAGUAAAGAGAUUGGUUACAGCUUCAAGGUAAUAUGAAAUUAAAGACGUUAUGUUCCUAUGGUUCUUGCUUUUCAGCUUUCUAAAUUUAGGCAUGCGCAAUUGAUAUUUGUUAAGACGAAAAGGAAGUAAAAUUCAUGCUUUCCUGGCAUCCAUUGAUCGGUUAACUCUCUAAACUUAAAUAUGACGAAAGUGCGCGGUAAGGCAAAUACACUCACCUGAUCUUACUGGGUUCAGAAACUCGAAUGAGAUGAUGAGUUGACAUGCAGAUCCAUGUCGAAGCAAGCUGAACUGCUCGAAUGCUGCCAGAUAUGGCUGGUCCGCGAUGGAAAUCACAUCUCCACCAGGUAGGCUCGAUAUUCAAAAGAGCAGCCAUUGCUCCAAAUUAGUUGCUCUCAAUUUCUUGUUUUCUUUCUUCAUCCAGACUGUCACCAAAACUUUUUUCAGUACAAGGGACUAUAUGCAGAGAAUUCAGUUUUUCAAAGGUCAUAAAUAGAAAUCCAGAAUUGCAGAAAGAUAGUAUAUGAGUUUCUCACAGGCGUAUAAAUGAAACUUUCAACAUUUCUUGUGCAGCGGAGCUAUUCGAGAAGAUACUGAGACAAAAGUUGAGAAUGAAGAAAGUCAAGAAUUGUCUAUACCUGCACUGGAGCCAUUAACCAAUGAAUCUGAAGCAUACGCAGCGAAUGAAUCUGAAGCAUACGCAACGCCGUCGAGUGAUCUGGUGCCGACUUAUCAUUAGCUAUCCUCUAAAGAGAAUACCAUAAGCACCGCUUGUCACAAACAUUACGUGUAUGAUGAAAAGGAAAAAAUAAUCAUGAUUUAAAACUCCGGAUUUUGAGAAGCUUCUAAUUUUUGGAGUAGCGAAGCAAUUCCAAAAUGCAGGCUAAACAGUGGAGUAUGCUCACGUAGCAAACUCCACAUCACGGAAGCUGAUGGAAACAUUAUGUGCGAGGAUUGAAUAAAACUUAAUCACAACCAUCUUAUAAAUCUGAUUAUGCAGGAUGAUGAAAUACCGAGUGAUCAAGAUGAGAUUCACACUCUCACAGACAGAAGUUUAUGUCACUCGGACGUGAGUCAGAAAACUGAGACCACAGUUCGCGAAAACGAAUCGCCAUCGGUAUCUAAUGUUCCAGAACUCAAUUUAAUUUUACAGACACCUACUUUAACCCGUGUAUGUGUGAGAGCGUAUAGCGAGAGAAAGGGAGAGAGCAAAUGGUAUGGAGGUCGUUUUUAGUCUAAAAUACUACUGUCUGCCAAACAGAAAAUAAACAAAAAUUUAUAGUUCACCUGAAAGUAAACAUCUGUAUGGACUUGAGUCUUUCAUAUAUUAUUAACUUAUGUUAUUUGCUUUGAAGGAAAGCAACACCACAACUGAUGAGAGUGGAGGCGAGAUGUUUUCUGAAGAAGCUCCAGAUCGCCCGGUUAAGCAUAAGAGCUUCAGGAAUGAUGCAGCUGAAGUCCAAUUACUAUGGGUAAUUCUCUCCCACCAAUUUGCUUGGCCCAACAACUGGAAACUUAUACGGUUUGAGCAUGUCACAAAGAAAGCAUCAACUAAAGAUAAAACCACUUCAAUUACUAUGGUUCUAUAAAAAUGAAUAUUGAAACAAGAAAUUUGGUGAUUAUGUAAGCAUUAGUUUACGGAUGGAGGAACUGAUGCUCCAAUUGAUUAAAAUGUCGAAAAUUUCUGGCAACCUAAACAAUCAGAACAUAUCGUCUUUUGCAGGCAGAGGUUAAACAGCUUAAAAGAGAGGUCAAGAAGUUAAAGAUCCGUCUAAAGAACGAAAGUAGUAUAGCAAGCAAAGGAAAGGCCGUGUUCUCAGAGCAGAAGUUAAAAGGUGUUGGAGACAACCCAAAUCCACCAAUUCCAGAACAUGUCACAGAAUUCUCCCACUCAGAACUUAAGCGAGCAACCAACAAUUUCAACCGAAGAAACAUAAUUGGCGAAGGAGGUUACGGCCCGGUCUACAGAGGCAAACUGCGUGGCGCCGUGGUUGCGAUAAAGAUGCUAAAUCCGAAGAGCAAACAAGGCCAUCCCGAGUUCCAGCAAGAGGUGAAUUUCCUUUCCUUUUAAUCCAUGCAACAGAACACUUCUGAAAAAUUCUCAUUCUAAGCAGAUAAAAAAAAUAUAUGUAAGUCAACAGCAAUCUUAUCAGUAUUAUGUAAUACGUGUUUCCGAUUACCCAACAGAACCGAUCACUAACCAAUAGUUUCUAUGGUCUCUCCAGGUUCAUGUGCUAGGCAUGAUCAAGAACCCAUAUAUAAUUAAACUAAUGGGAGUGUGCUCAAAGUCAUGUUCUCUUGUCUACGAAUACCUCCCCAGUGGCACACUGAAGCAACAGCUUGUUCGCGCGCUAUCCUGGCAAGACCGUGUCCGUAUACUCGGCGAGCAACGCUCCGCCCUCAUUUGCCUCCACACAAACAAGCCAUACGCUAUAAUCCAUGCCGAUCUUAAGCCUCAGAAUAUACUUCUCGAUGAGAACAAUAUAAGCCGCCUCGGAGACUUUGGCACUGCUAGAGCGAUACUCAACGACCCGUCGAACCAAGAAACUAUCUGUCGAAAGACGAACCCGAUGGGGACUACGGGGUACAUGGACCCUAUAUUCUUGAUGACGGGAGAGUUAACACCUCAGUCCGAUGUGUAUUCAUAUGGUGUCGUAACUUUACAGCUUCUGACAGGGCUUCUGGAAUUGAAUAUAGCUGAGCAGGUGGAGGAGGGGCUUAGGAGGGGGGUCGCGAGGCAGAUUCUCGACGGUUCUGCUGGAGACUGGCCAGCAGUGCAGGCUGAGAAGCUGCUGAGGUUGGCCUUGAGGUGCUGCAGCCUCGAAAGGAAGCAAAGGCCGAGCCUCGAAUCAAAGGAAUGGAGAACACUCGAUAUAUUACGGGCUAUGGCAGGUAAGAAAAUAAGCCAUGUGUAGGUAGGUAGAAAAACUUAAGAGCAAGCGUAACAAAGUCGAAAAAUGCUUCAUAUCCUGACAUGGAGUUCUUCAUACAUAAAAAAGUGUCAGAUAAUAACAGAUAACAUCAGAAAAGUUGAAAAGAUCACAAGGUGUGCAAAUUGAGACCUUUGAGGAUCUUCUCAACUCACAAGUUAAUCUCCAUGGGAAAAAAAUUGUUGCACAUUUACUACUAGGUUCUUCGACGCAGAAGCAACUUAAGUUAGUUUAGGUUUCUCUAAGAAAAUGCACAACAUACAAUGGCUCUGCGACUGCGACAGCGACAGCAGCGACACAUUGUUAGAGACAAAAUUCUAGCUUUUCUCUUAUUGCGUGAUACUUUCUUUCGAACUUGCAGGGAAAUCAAGAAAACUCGAAAGCACGAGCAUCAAAAAGGGUGCGAUUUGAUCUACGAUCGGAACAAGGAGAGACCUUUUCGAAUUUAACAGUGUGCGCGCUACGUGAAUGGACAUGAAGAAACAUAGAUUACAGUGUGUACGUACAUGUACAUAGUUGUAGUUAUGCAUGUAAACUAUGAAAUAACAGUCGAAAUUGAGCUCGAACAUUUGCCGACUAUUUCAAAGGCAAAGAUUAGAACAAUUUGAGAUUGUAAUUUGUAUAGGAAAGAUCAUGAGAUCCUGGACAUCAUAACCUAUUAUUGUUACAACUCAAUAUAGAUUUUCAAGUUGAAAUUUUGUUAAAUUUGAUGGAUCUAUUAGCAAUUAGUUGAAAAUAUUAUAAAUUUGAAAUUCAAUGAUUAAAAAAAAAUUGAGGAGAGUGUAAACUGAAGUCCAGGGGCCUAUUUCAUAACGGUCUAUAGUUGAGGGGGUACUCUAUAUAUUGUUGUACCUAAAAUUAAGUACUUGAUAUAGAUUUAUCUACGGUAUUGUGUAGAAAUUGGAAUGAAUCGAGAUUCAACAGUGAAGUGAGAGCGAAAGAACAAAAAUAACAAGAAUAAUAAUUCAUUCGAGCAAGGGGGCAAAUGAGAACCGGAAAAAAUAGAGGGGGCGAUACGCGAAAAGUACCCCGCUUUCGACCACCGACCACGGCGAGAGGCGGCGCGAGAUCGACGGAUCGGGGAUGAAGAAGAGGAUAUAUAGAUGCUGAUUGGGCGG
Molecule: long non-coding RNA, 4831 nt
Filed under: Ananas comosus (pineapple)
Lineage: Eukaryota; Viridiplantae; Streptophyta; Magnoliopsida; Poales; Bromeliaceae
Description: long non-coding RNA (ACOM_LNC031992)
Source: RNAcentral